This 374-nucleotide ribosomal RNA is filed under the name uncultured organism. RNAcentral's name for it is "bacterial SSU rRNA". It matches the Rfam family "Bacterial small subunit ribosomal RNA", at positions 526 to 896 of the family's 1533-position model. The record is from RNAcentral.
CAGAGGUCCCAAGCGUUGUUCGGAUUCACUGGGCGUAAAGGGUGCGUAGGUGGUAAGGUAAGUCGGAUGUGAAAGCUCCGAGCUCAACUCGGAAAUGGCAUUGGAAACUACCUUGCUAGAGGGUUUGAGGGGGGACUGGAAUACUUGGUGUAGCAGUGAAAUGCGUAGAUAUCAAGUGGAACACCAGUGGCGAAGGCGAGUCCCUGGAAAACUCCUGACACUGAGGCACGAAAGCUAGGGGAGCAAACAGGAUUAGAUACCCUGGUAGUCCUAGCCGUAAACGGUGCGUAUUCGCUGUAAAAGGAAUCGACCCCCUUUUGUGGCGUAGCCUAACGCGUUAAAUACGCCGCCUGGGAAGUACGGUCGCAAGAUUA